CGGCAGAAAGUGGGUGGAUCAAACCUCGGGCGGCGUUGGGACCCGGGGAAUGGAGGGGUGACCCGGCGUCUCUCUCCUCACCAACCUAGCUUGGAGCAAGGAAUUUGAAGGCAAGGAAUCUCCAUGGCGUGCUCUAAUGUGAGCUUACGACCUCUCAUCGCUCGCCGGACGCUUCAGUCGCUCCUCCACCGCUCUCCCUGUAUUCGUUUGUGGUCUGGUUGCCUUAGCGCUGUUCUGACGUCUGAUAUCGUUUUCCCGGCGCGCAAGGCUUCGCGUUUGGUUCAGCACCGAUCUGUUUUGAACGGUAAUCGGCGACGGUCACCUGUCUAUCCUGGAGAUUACUUCCUUACGAGAGGGGUUAGCAAAGGUGUUGAAGCCCCUGUGGCAGCUAUGGGGGUGAUCCCUAAGCCUCCAGUUGCGAGGAAGGUUAGUCAUGUCUUGGAGACACAUGGAGACAAGAGAAUAGACGAUUACUACUGGAUCCGCGAUGAUGAGAGGAAAAACCCUGACGUGCUGGCAUAUCUGGAAGAGGAAAAUAGCUACACAGAAGCGGUUAUGGCCGACUCGAAGGAUUUCCAAGAGUCGCUGUUUCAAGAGAUUCGAAGUAAAAUAAAGGAGGACGAUGUCAAUGCUCCUUUACGAAAUGGUCCAUUCUUUUACUACACGAAGAACUUAGAAGGUCAACAGUAUACUGUGCAUUGUCGACGGGCGGCACCUGGAGGGGAAGGUCCUGGUCAUGUUGAUGAAGUGAUGGAAACUGGUAAUGGAGCAUCGGAGGAAGAAGUUCUGUUGGAUGAAAACAAAGAAGCCAAGGAACACGAGUUCUAUCAUGUUGGUGAAGUCAAGGUCAGUCCAAAUCACAAACUAUUAGCUGUGACGGAAGAUUUUACUGGUGAUGAAGUGUACUCAAUCCGUGUCAUUGAUAUCGAAACUGGCCAGUCUGUUGGAAAUCUCAUUACGGGAAGCACUGAACAGAUUGAGUGGGCUGAGGACAAUGAAAUACUGUUUUACGUAUCUCAAGACGAAGUGCACCGGCCUUACAAGGUUUGGCGGCACAGAUUGAACAAUAAUCAGUCUGACGAUGAAUGUCUUUAUCAUGAGAAAAACGAGGAACACUAUAUUGAUCUUCGCAAGUCAGAGAGCGAGGAAUACAUUUUUGUGUAUUCCGGCACAAAAGUUACUCAGUUUGUACUCUACUUGAGCUCCAAUGAACCUAAUGGGGAUAUGAAACCUCUGUCGCCUCACAUUGAAGGAGAAGAUUACUCUGUCACUCAUCGUGGAAACCACUUUUAUUUCACAAGGAGAAGCGAAGAGAUUUUUAAUUCUGAGCUUCUUGUUGCCCCUGUUACUAAUAUUUCUGCUUUUACUGUGCUGCUUUCCCAUAGACCCAGCGUGAAGCUGGAGAAUGUACGGGCCUCUAGGGACCACCUUAUUGUCAAUGUUCGCGAAGAUGGACUUCAGGCAAUCACUAUUUAUGCACUUCCUCCAGCUGGAAAAUCAGUAGAGUCGCUCUCUGAGGGACAGAAGAUUAAGUUUCCUGAGCCGACAUAUUCUUUAGAAGACGAAUCGUAUCAGUUUAACUCUCAUAUCUUCCGUUAUGGUUAUAGCUCUUUGCGAACUCCUCAAUCUGUUUAUGACUAUGAUUUGAACUCUGGCAAGGCGGUGUUGAAGAAAUUGAAGCCGGUUCUGGGUGGCUUUGACGUAAAUAAGUACGAAACAGUGAGGCCCUGGGCUACGGCCAGUGAUGGCACCCGCAUUCCUAUUUCAAUAAUCUACAGAAAAGAUCUUGUAAAACUGGAUGGGACAGACCCAUUGUUUCUCUCUGGCUAUGGUUCCUACGAGAUUCCAAAUGAUCCCGAAUUUAACUACCACAGAUUAUCUUUGCUAGAUAGAGGAGUCGUAUUUGCUGUUGCCCAUAUUCGAGGUGGAGGUGAAUUGGGGCGGAAGUGGUACGAGGAUGGAAAAUUGCUGCGCAAGAAAAAUACUUUUACAGAUUUUAUAUCUUGUGCGGAGUACCUACUGGAGAAUAAGUAUGGGUCUAAGGACAAGAUUGCUGUUCAAGGAAGAAGUGCAGGUGGUCUCCUCGCGGGUGCAGUUCUAACCAUGAGACCCGAUUUAUUCACAACUGUUAUUGCGGAAGUGGCGUUCGUGGAUGUUCUGACAACCAUGCUUGAUCCAUCCAUUCCUCUCACAACGGUGGAAUGGGAGGAAUGGGGUAACCCUGCCAAAGAGGAAUACUAUUACUACAUGAAGUCUUAUUCACCUCAGGAUAAUAUUCAAGCCCGUGACUACCCUAAUGUGCUCGUUACUGGGGGUCUCCAUGGUGAGUGCGCUGAUAUCUACCUUCGAUCCUCGCGUUGCCUACUGGGAACCUUCAAAAUUUGUUGCCAAGUUGCGAGAAAUGAAGACUGAUUCUAAUUUGCUUCUUCUGAAGUGUGAUAUGGGUGCUGGCCAUUUCUCCAAAUCAGGAAGGUUUGACAAGCUGAAGGAUUUCGCUUUUACGUAUGCAUUCGUUCUUAAGACUUUGGGCAUUUUGCCAUCAAUCAAUUCUUCUAAUCUCUAAGAAGUAGAAGGUUUGGCAAGUCAUCCCAUGAUGAAAGCCCUUUCAUUAGUAUGAUAUCUAAUGCAGCCUAUACUUCAUCGUCACGGCAGAUUGGCAUUGGUUGUCUUCCCUUUGGAUGUGCAUCUGAGGACAACUAAGAGAGAUUGCGUGGACAGAAGUAAGCAAGAUCUGGGAAGCAACUAUGGUUGGUCUUUGAUUCGAGUCCUUCUAGGUCACUGAAUUUCCAAGUGCUAGAUAGUUGGGUUCUUUUUUGAGAUGGUCCUUUUUGGUUUUCAUUUAUUUUGGGAUGCCGGAUCAGCAUUGUCAAAUUGAAGUAAAUGAAACUAUGUAUUACAAUGCCACUCGAUAUUGUGAGAGAGCACUUGUACGAGAAUCUUGCACGCAGUUUCAAACCUGCAACUGAUUCGUCCGUCAAA
Molecule: RNA transcript, 2979 nt
Organism: Physcomitrium patens
Lineage: Eukaryota; Viridiplantae; Streptophyta; Bryopsida; Funariales; Funariaceae
Source: RefSeq, a predicted model, not a curated record